GGAAGUUCUGAAAGGCAUUCCCUGUAGAAUAACACAGAAGAACUUUUGUCAAACAAACGAAAAGGAUCAAGAAUUUCAGAGAGGUUGGCAUUAAAACUUGUGAAGCAACUAUUAACAAUCAUGCUUCUGGCAUAAAAGCAGAAAAAUCAAUUGUGAUAGACAAGCAGAAUGCAGAUAGUUGGGACCUGGGAGUAUUGAAACAUUGGGAUGAGUUACCGUCUAAAACGGAAACAAUACUAAAACACAAGCUUACUACCGGAGUGCUCAACAUAGCACUUUAAGCAAAUGACACUGUUAAUAUCACUGCUCAUGUUCGUGUCAGUCACCAUCCAGGAUUAUCUGCUUUCAAUGAUAUCUAUCCUGAGUGUCAGAGACAUAGGGAUUGUUUUAUGAUCAUCUUUCCUCUGUUUUAUGUCGCAACAACUUGUUCCUGCUCAAAUUAUUCUACUUAUUCUAAAGGAACACUCGAGUUCAUAAGAAGAGAAAGAAAACAAUUUUGAAAACACCUAUGUACAGAAACUCUCUUCAUAAAGUAUUUUGGAUUUGUAAUUUUUGAGAAGAAUUCUUGGUAGGCAUUUAGUUCGAUAUUAAAUAAAUCCAUGCAUAUGAUUGCAGAUACACAUCUCAGACCAGAAACUCUAAGGCCUUUGAUAUCAAUGAUUCCAUAUGCACUUAAAACCAAGCAGGAUUUCUCUGAAACUCUUAACUACAUUAGGGUGAUGCAUUUCUAAUCAUGCUGAACACUUGAGAGUUGAAAAAACAUAAGCUCUUCU
Molecule: unclassified non-coding RNA, 773 nt
Filed under: Hevea brasiliensis (rubber tree)
Lineage: Eukaryota; Viridiplantae; Streptophyta; Magnoliopsida; Malpighiales; Euphorbiaceae
Source: RNAcentral